This 113-nucleotide transfer RNA is filed under the name Pseudozyma flocculosa. It matches the Rfam family "tRNA". Rfam says of the family: Transfer RNA (tRNA) molecules are approximately 80 nucleotides in length. Lineage: Eukaryota; Fungi; Basidiomycota; Ustilaginomycetes; Ustilaginales; Ustilaginaceae. RNAcentral also lists the same sequence under 1 other name. The record is from Rfam by way of RNAcentral.
GGGAGUUUAGCUCAGUGGGAGAGCGCUGCUUUCGCAUACAUGUAUCAUGCGACUCAGGGAACUUAACCUUCCUUCUCAGGCAGAGGCCCAGGGUUCAAUCCCCUGAACUUCCA